AGAGUUUGAUCCUGGCUCAGGAUGAACGCUAGCGGCAGGCCUAAUACAUGCAAGUCGAACGGUAACAUGAGAGCUUGCUCUUGAUGACGAGUGGCGCACGGGUGCGUAACGCGUAUGCAACCUACCCUUUACUGGGGGAUAGCCCGGAGAAAUCCGGAUUAAUACCCCAUGGUACCAUAAUAUAACCUUAUAUAGUGGUUAAAGAUUUAUUGGUAAAGGAUGGGCAUGCGUGACAUUAGUUAGUUGGUAAGGUAACGGCUUACCAAGACGAUGAUGUCUAGGGGUUCUGAGAGGAAGGUCCCCCACACUGGUACUGAGACACGGACCAGACUCCUACGGGAGGCAGCAGUAGGGAAUAUUGGUCAAUGGACGCAAGUCUGAACCAGCCAUGCCGCGUGCAGGAUGACAGCUUUCUGAGUUGUAAACUGCUUUUAUAUAGGAACAAAUAGGCCAUGCGUGGCAAGUUGCGUGUACUAUAUGAAUAAGCACCGGCUAACUCCGUGCCAGCAGCCGCGGUAAUACGGAGGGUGCAAGCGUUGUCCGGAUUUAUUGGGUUUAAAGGGUGCGUAGGUGGCGUGUUAAGUCAGUGGUGAAAGCCUGCAGCUCAACUGUAGAGGUGCCAUUGAUACUGACAUGCUUGAGUAUGGAC
RNAcentral lists this ribosomal RNA (649 nucleotides) under uncultured bacterium. RNAcentral's name for it is "bacterial SSU rRNA". It matches the Rfam family "Bacterial small subunit ribosomal RNA", at positions 8 to 653 of the family's 1533-position model. The record is from RNAcentral.